Molecule: ribosomal RNA, 130 nt
Filed under: Lepisosteus oculatus (spotted gar)
Lineage: Eukaryota; Metazoa; Chordata; Actinopteri; Semionotiformes; Lepisosteidae
Source: RNAcentral
AUCAGCAGCCAUAUCACCCUGCACAGAAAACAACUGGCACAACUGGCAACCCACUGAGGCUAAGCAGGUGUGAGCCUGGUCAGUACCUGGAUGGGAGACCUUCUGGGAAAAACUAAGGUUGCUGCUGGAA